This 1494-nucleotide long non-coding RNA is filed under the name Zea mays. RNAcentral's name for it is "long non-coding RNA (ZMAY_LNC001143)". Lineage: Eukaryota; Viridiplantae; Streptophyta; Magnoliopsida; Poales; Poaceae. The record is from RNAcentral.
AGGUGGAGGUCACCGUCGGCUCCGCCCGGGACCUCAAGAACGUCAACUGGCGCAACGGCGACCUCAAGCCCUACGCCGUGGUGUGGAUCGACUCCGGCAGCAAGUGCUCGACCCGCGUCGACCUCGACAACGGCGAGAGCCCGGCGUGGGACGAGAAGCUGCUCGUCCCGCUCCCGCCCACCUCCCGCCUCGACGACGCCGUCCUCUACGUCGACGUCGUCCACGCCAACGCCGCCCAGGGCGUCAAGCCGCUCGUCGGCUCCGCGCGCCUCCCGCUCCGCGACGUCCUCGACGACGCCGGGGUCGGGGGCAAGGCCUCGCGCAGCCUCCGCCUCAAGCGCCCCUCGGGCCGCCCCCACGGCCGCCUCGACGUCCGCGUCGCCGUCAAGGAGCCGUCCAGGUACUACGACCCCAACCCCUACCCGGCCCCCGCGGCCUACGCCAACACGGGCGGCGGCACCCGUGACCCCUACGGCUCGUCCGCUGCUGCUGCCGGCGGCUACUACGGCUCCGGAGGCGGAUACGGUUCCGGUGGUGGCGCCUACGGUGGCGGCGCCUACGGCGCCGCGCAGCCCUACACCGCAGCGCCCCCGGCGGGGUACCCUUCCACCUACGGCGCCGCGCCGCCGCCUCAGCCAGCGGCAGCGUACGGCGCUCCUCCUGCCGCUGCAUACGGCGCUCCUCCUGUCGCCGCCACCGCCGCGUACGGAACCGGCGCCGUUGCUUCCGACGGGAAGAAGAAGAACAAGAUGGGGAUGGGGACGGGGCUGGCAGUGGGCGCGGCGGCGGGCGUGCUCGGAGGGCUGGCGCUGGCCGGCGGGGCGAGCUACCUGGAGGACAAGUUCGAGGAGCGCGUGUCGGAGCGGGUGGAGGACAACCUGGAGAGGGAGGAGUCGUACGGCGGCGGCGGCGGCGGCUACGGGGGUGGCUACGACGACUAUGGCGGCAACGACGACUAUGGCGGCGACGACGACUACUGAUGGGUCCUGAUCCUCCGAUCGUUUGCCCGGCUGCUACGCUUGCCAUCCACCUCCACCUUCGUCUCGCUGUCCUAGAUGUUUGCUGUAUGAAUCGCAUAGUAGAUCAUGUUCUCUAUUCCUGCCUUCAGUUUCUUUUCUCAGUUGUGGUUUAUCGCGGCGGGGUUGAUGUUGAGAUUUGAGAUCCUCACCUGAGGAAUGGAAAAAUGCUCACCUGAGGAAUGGAAAAAUGGUAAGGGCUUGUUCGGUUAUUCCUAUCCCAUGUGGAUUGGAUGGGAUUGGAAAAAAUUAUGAAAGAUUUUAACUUGUUUGAGAUUGAAAUCCAUCCAAUCCCACCUAAUCCACAUGAAUUAAGAGCAAAACGAAUAUGCCCUAAAUUGAUUAAUUCGGUUGCUACUCCUUCGUCUUGGCAAGUUUAGGAUGUAUCAAUUUGUGCGAAUAGUUGAUGUUACCAAAGGUUCCACGCUAGGGAGACACCAGGGGAGAGCUUCGCGCGUGGAAGCCAUUUCUCUACAGU